This 149-nucleotide ribosomal RNA is filed under the name uncultured archaeon. RNAcentral's name for it is "partial 16S ribosomal RNA". It matches the Rfam family "Archaeal small subunit ribosomal RNA", at positions 321 to 474 of the family's 1478-position model. The record is from RNAcentral.
CCCUACGGGGUGCAGCAGGCGCGCAAACUUUACAAUGCGAGCAAUCGUGAUAAGGAAACCCUGAGUGCCUGUCGAUGCAGGCUGUUCAUAUAUCUAAAUCAUAUGUGAAGAAAGGGCAGGGCAAGACCGGUGCCAGCAGCCGCGGUAAA